Molecule: ribosomal RNA, 773 nt
Filed under: uncultured Neocallimastigales
Lineage: Eukaryota; Fungi; Neocallimastigomycota; Neocallimastigomycetes; Neocallimastigales
Description: partial large subunit ribosomal RNA
Rfam family: Eukaryotic large subunit ribosomal RNA
Source: RNAcentral
AGAGAUGUGUGAUGACGCAUAUCAAUAAGCGGAGGAAAAGAAACUAACAAGGAUUCCCUUAGUAACGGCGAGUGAAGCGGGAAGAGCUCAAAUUUGAAAUCUUCAAGGUUCUACCUUGACGAAUUGUAGUUUAAAGAAGUGUUUUCUGUUAGUGGAGUGGUAAAAGUUCUUUGGAAUAGGACAUCAUAGAGGGUGAGAAUCCCGUAUUUGACCAUUACUUUCCAGCUGUGUGAUACACUUUCAAAGAGUCGGAUUGUUUGGGAAUGCAGUCCAAAAUGGGUGGUAAAUUUCAUCUAAAGCUAAAUAUUGGCGAGAGACCGAUAGCGAACAAGUACCGUGAGGGAAAGAUGAAAAGAACUUUGAAAAGAGAGUUAAACAGUACGUGAAAUUGUCAAAAGGGAAGCGUUUGACACCAGUGUUGUUUUCUCGAAAAUCAAUUAAAAAUGGCUUGGUUUUGUGUUGUAUUGACUUUAUCGGCUUUCUGCACUUUUUUCAUGUCUUUUUUUAUGCACUUUUCGUUUAACAAGUCAACAUCUAUUUCUUUUGUUGUAAAAGGGUAUGAGGAAGGUGGCUUUCUUUCGGAGAAAGUGUUUAUAGCCUUGUACCUCUGCAAUCGGAGAGAUUGAGGUCUGCAGCGUAGAUCCUUCGGGGUUAGAUACAUUUGUGCUAAGUUAUAGCUUUUCAUAGACAACUUGUUGACUAUGUUAGUCUUGUAGCUUACUCGCUUAUGCUAUUUUACCUACGCUUAGGAUGUUGACAGCAGUAUAGACUGU